Molecule: ribosomal RNA, 502 nt
Filed under: uncultured Glomeromycotina
Lineage: Eukaryota; Fungi; Glomeromycota
Description: partial small subunit ribosomal RNA
Rfam family: Eukaryotic small subunit ribosomal RNA
Source: RNAcentral
CCAAUAGCGUAUAUUAAAGUUGUUGCAGUUAAAAAGCUCGUAGUUGAACUUCGGGAUUUGCCCAUUGGUCAGGCUUAACUGUCUGUACUGGUGUGACGAGUUCCUACCUUCUGAGGAAUCUCCAUGUCAUUCAGUUGGUGUGGGGGGAAAUCAGGACUGUUACUUUGAAAAAAUUAGAGUGUUUAAAGCAGGCGUCCGGCUGAAUACAUUAGCAUGGAAUAAUAAAAUAGGACGGUUUGGUUCUAUUUUGUUGGUUUCUAGGAUCACCGUAAUGAUUAAUAGGGAUAGUUGGGGGCAUUAGUAUUCAAUUGUCAGAGGUGAAAUUCUUGGAUUUAUUGAAGACUAACUACUGCGAAAGCAUUUGCCAAGGAUGUUUUCAUUAAUCAAGAACGAAAGUUAGGGGAUCGAAGACGAUCAGAUACCGUCGUAGUCUUAACCAUAAACUAUGCCGACUAGGGAUCGGACGAAGUUAAUUUUUUAAUGACUCGUUCGGCACCUUACG